GAUGAACGCUGGCGGCGUGCCUAAUACAUGCCAGUCGAGCGAACGGACGAGAAGCUUGCUUUUCUGAUGUUAGCGGCGGACGGGUGAGUAACACGUGGAUAACCUACCUAUAAGACUGGGAUAACUUCGGGAAACCGGAGCUAAUACCGGAUAAUAUUUUGAACCGCAUGGUUCAAAAGUGGAAGACGGUCUUGCUGUCACUUAUAGAUGGAUCCGCGCUGCAUUAGCUAGUUGGUAAGGUAACGGCUUACCAAGGCAACGAUGCAUAGCCGACCUGAGAGGGUGAUCGGCCACACUGGAACUGAGACACGGUCCAGACUCCUACGGGAGGCAGCAGUAGGGAAUCUUCCGCAAUGGGCGAAAGCCUGACGGAGCAACGCCGCGUGAGUGAUGAAGGUCUUCGGAUCGUAAAACUCUGUUAUUAGGGAAGAACAUAUGUGUAAGUAACUGUGCACAUCUUGACGGUACCUAAUCAGAAAGCCACGGCUAACUACGUG
RNAcentral lists this ribosomal RNA (497 nucleotides) under uncultured bacterium. RNAcentral describes it as "partial 16S ribosomal RNA". It matches the Rfam family "Bacterial small subunit ribosomal RNA", at positions 28 to 507 of the family's 1533-position model. The record is from RNAcentral.